RNAcentral lists this ribosomal RNA (254 nucleotides) under uncultured bacterium. RNAcentral describes it as "partial 16S ribosomal RNA". It matches the Rfam family "Bacterial small subunit ribosomal RNA", at positions 524 to 777 of the family's 1533-position model. The record is from RNAcentral.
UACGUAGGUGGCGAGCGUUGUCCGGAUUUACUGGGCGUAAAGAGCGCGCAGGCGGUCGAAUAAGUCGAAUGUGAAAGCCCCCGGCUCAACUGGGGAGGGUCAUUCGAUACUGCUCGACUUGAAGGCAGGAGAGGGAAGUGGAAUUCCCGGUGUAGUGGUGAAAUGCGUAGAUAUCGGGAGGAACACCAGUGGCGAAGGCGACUUCCUGGCCUGUUCUUGACGCUGAGGCGCGAAAGCUGGGGGAGCAAACGGGG